RNAcentral lists this long non-coding RNA (1370 nucleotides) under Zostera marina. RNAcentral describes it as "long non-coding RNA (ZMAR_LNC000763)". The record is from RNAcentral. Lineage: Eukaryota; Viridiplantae; Streptophyta; Magnoliopsida; Alismatales; Zosteraceae.
UGAGCAAUGAGAGAUCGAGCUGUUUCAGAAUUGGAGGGAGGAGGAAGGAGGAUGUAAUCGCACCGAAACCAAACUAAACACCAACACACCAGAACAUAGUCAACGGAACUGAACUGAAUGGGUAACCGAUAAGAAUAAAUCCAAGAUCAAGAGCGGAAAACAGUACCUAUUUGGUCAGAAUACCAGAAACAAGAAUAAUCAGAAACAUGGACAAGCAGAUUAUUAAGCCGAGCAGCCACCAAAAUCAAACUGAACACCAACACACCAGAACAUACCAGUCAUCGAAUAGUCAACGGAACUGAACUGAACUGGUAACGGAUAAGAAUAAAUCGAAAACAAUAGAGGAAAACAGUACCUAUUUGGUCAGAAUACCAGAAACAAGGAUAACCAGAAACACGGACAAGCAGAUUAUUAAGCCGAGCAGCCACCAAAACCAAACUGAACACCAACACACCAGAACAUACCAGUCAUUGAAUAGUCAACGGAACUGAACUGAACUGGUAACGGAUAAGAAUAUAUCGAAAACAAUAGCGAAAAACAGUACCUAUUUGGUUAGAAUACCAGAAACAAGAAUAACCAGAAACACGGACAAGCAGAAUAGAAAGCCGAGCAACCACUGAAACUAGAACUGAACACAAAAACAACAGAAAAAACCAGUCAUCGAGUAGUCAACGGAACUACACUUAACAACAAGAACUCAAAACCAAACAGCCACCGAAAUAGAACAGAACUGAACAUCGAAACCCAAGGAAACAAGUGAACCUACAUACACUAAAUUGGAAGAAGGAGAAAUGUCAGUCGGUUUGGUUAUAAGUAUGUUAGGGAAGGGGUUUUUGGUUUGGGUGGGAUGUUGGUUUAGGUGGGGUUUUUGGGGAGAGAUGGGUUGCUGGUUUGGGUGGGUUGUUGGUUUAGGUGGGGUUUUUGGGAAGGGGUUUUUGGGUAGAGUAUUGGGGACAUGAAACAAUCCUAAAUCGAAUUUAGGGAAUUGUUUGAAAAACAGUGGCCAAAUCUUUCUAAAUCAUCCCCGAUCCAAGAUCGGAGUGUUAACGAUCUAGAUAUUGGGAGACUAAAGACUUCUUAUGAAUUAAUGCUGAUCACCUGACCGCGGACGGAAGUCUCCGAUCAACAGAUCGGAGUUCGAUCUUUGAUUGAGAGACGGUACAACGCUACCAAAACGUAGCUUGGAAGAAUUCCGACGGAAGUAUGAAACUCAGGGAUGGAGACGAUCGCAGGUACAGGAAGUAUGCGUCUGGAGCUGGCACUUGAUUCCGCGAUGAGAUUGGGCAGAACGGAGCAGUGGGGAUACGGAUUCUGGACUGAAAACUGGAAACGGGAAAACUGAAAACUGGAGCAGCGCGAGAAUUUAGCCC